CCUACGGGAGGCAGCAGUGGGGAAUAUUGCACAAUGGGGGAAACCCUGAUGCAGCAACGCCGCGUGAGCGAUGAAGGCCUUCGGGUCGUAAAGCUCUGUCCUAAGGGAAGAAUACUGACGGUACCUUAGGAGGAAGCCCCGGCUAACUACGUGCCAGUAGCCGCGGUAAUAGGUAGGGGGCUAGCGUUAUCCGGAAUUACUGGCCGUAAAGGGUGCGUAGGCGGCCCUCAAAGUCAGAGGUGAAAGGCUACGGCUCAACCGUAGUAAGGCGUUGACACUGUAGGGCUUGAGGGCAGGGAAGGAGUGUGGAAAUCCCUGUGUAGCGGUGAAAUGCGUAGAUAGUGGGAGGAACUCGAGUUGCUAAGGCGGCUUUCUGGACAGUAACGGACGCUGAGGCACGAAAGCGUGGGGAGCGAACAGGAUUAGAUACCCCGGUAGUC
Molecule: ribosomal RNA, 440 nt
Filed under: uncultured bacterium
Lineage: Bacteria
Description: bacterial SSU rRNA
Rfam family: Bacterial small subunit ribosomal RNA
Source: RNAcentral